AUUGAACGCUGGCGGCAGGCUUAACACAUGCAAGUCGAACGGUAGCAGGAGGAAGCUUGCUUUCUUGCUGACGAGUGGCGGACGGGUGAGUAAUGCUUGGGAAUCUGGCUUAUGGAGGGGGAUAACGACGGGAAACUGUCGCUAAUACCGCGUAGUGUCGAGAGACGAAAGGGUGGGACUUUUAGCCACCUGCCAUAGGAUGAGCCCAAGUGGAAUUAGGUAGUUGGUGGGGUAAUGGCUCACCAAGCCUGCGAUCUCUAGCUGGUCUGAGAGGAUGACCAGCCACACUGGAACUGAGACACGGUCCAGACUCCUACGGGAGGCAGCAGUGGGGAAUAUUGCGCAAUGGGGGGAACCCUGACGCAGCCAUGCCGCGUGAAUGAAGAAGGCCUUCGGGUUGUAAAGUUCUUUCGGUAUUGAGGAAGGUUGAUGUGAUAAUAGUACAUCAAAUUGACGUUAAAUACAGAAGAAGCACCGGCUAACUCCGUGCCAGCAGCCGCGGUAAUACGGAGGGUGCGAGCGUUAAUCGGAAUAACUGGGCGUAAAGGGCACGCAGGCGGUUAUUUAAGUGAGGUGUGAAAGCCCUGGGCUUAACCUAGGAAU
Molecule: ribosomal RNA, 603 nt
Filed under: uncultured bacterium
Lineage: Bacteria
Description: bacterial SSU rRNA
Rfam family: Bacterial small subunit ribosomal RNA
Source: RNAcentral